GACGAACGCUGGCGGCGUGCUUAACACAUGCAAGUCGAACGGAAAGGCCCUGCUUUUGUGGGGUGCUCGAGUGGCGAACGGGUGAGUAACACGUGAGUAACCUGCCCUUGACUUUGGGAUAACUUCAGGAAACUGGGGCUAAUACCGGAUAGGAGCUCCUGCUGCAUGGUGGGGGUUGGAAAGUUUCGGCGGUUGGGGAUGGACUCGCGGCUUAUCAGCUUGUUGGUGGGGUAGUGGCUUACCAAGGCUUUGACGGGUAGCCGGCCUGAGAGGGUGACCGGCCACAUUGGGACUGAGAGACGGACCAGAAUCCUACGGGAGGCAGCAGUGGGGAAUAUUGCACAAUGGGCGGAAGCCUGAUGUAGCAACGCCGCGUGCGGGAUGACGGCCUUCGGGUUGUAAACCGCUUUCGCCUGUGACGAAGCGUGAGUGACGGUAAUGGGUAAAGAAGCACCGGCUAACUACGUG
Molecule: ribosomal RNA, 468 nt
Filed under: uncultured bacterium
Lineage: Bacteria
Description: partial 16S ribosomal RNA
Rfam family: Bacterial small subunit ribosomal RNA
Source: RNAcentral